AUUGAACGCUGGCGGCAGGCCUAACACAUGCAAGUCGAGCGGAAACGAAGGGAGCUUGCUCCCAGGCGUCGAGCGGCGGACGGGUGAGUAACACGUGAGAAUCUGCCCAUUAGUGGGGGACAACUCGGGGAAACUCGAGCUAAUACCGCAUAAUCCCUACGGGGGAAAGCAGGGGACCUGUUGGCCUUGCGCUGAUGGAUGUGCGCACGUCGGAUUAGCUUGUUGGGGAGGUAAAGGCUCACCAAGGCGACGAUCCGUAGCUGGUCUGGGAGGAUGAUCAGCCACACUGGGACUGAGACACGGCCCAGACUCCUACGGGAGGCAGCAGUGGGGAAUCUUGGACAAUGGGGGCAACCCUGAUCCAGCCAUGCCGCGUGUGUGAAGAAGGCCUUCGGGUUGUAAAGCACUUUCAGCAGGGAGGAAGGCUUUGGCCGAAUAGGUUGAAGUACUUGACGUUACCUGCAGAAGAAGCACCGGCUAAUUUCGUGCCAGCCGCCGCCGUAA
RNAcentral lists this ribosomal RNA (504 nucleotides) under uncultured bacterium. RNAcentral's name for it is "partial 16S ribosomal RNA". It matches the Rfam family "Bacterial small subunit ribosomal RNA", at positions 29 to 523 of the family's 1533-position model. The record is from RNAcentral.